AACGAACGCUGGCGGCGUGGAUAAGACAUGCAAGUCGAGCGAAGUAUGAGGGGUAGCAAUAUUCCUUAUACUUAGCGGCGAAAGGGUGCGUAACACGUAGAUCAUCUGCCUCCAAGUGUGGGAUAGCCCGGCGAAAGCCGGAUUAAUACCGCAUGUGGUCGUGAGAUUAAAGCCGGGGACCGUAAGGCCUGGCGCUUGGAGAUGAGUCUGCGGCCUAUCAGCUUGUUGGCGGGGUAACGGCCCACCAAGGCUAAGACGGGUAGCUGGUCUGAGAGGACGACCAGCCACACUGGAACUGAGACACGGUCCAGACACCUACGGGUGGCAGCAGUCGAGGAUUUUUCUCAAUGGGCGAAAGCCUGAAGGAGCGACGCCGCGUGGGGGAUGAAGGUCUUCGGAUUGUAAACCCCUGUCACUUGGGAACAAAUUGGAUCACCCAACACGUGAUCCAUUGAUAGUACCAGGAGAGGAAGCAGUGGCUAACUCU
This 487-nucleotide ribosomal RNA is filed under the name uncultured bacterium. Its description in RNAcentral is "bacterial SSU rRNA". It matches the Rfam family "Bacterial small subunit ribosomal RNA", at positions 29 to 504 of the family's 1533-position model. The record is from RNAcentral.